AUGCUGGGUGACGAAUCCAGUAGGGACUUCCAGGCACUCCUUUGUCUCAAGAACCACCUUUCUAACAAUACCAAAGCCCUCGCCUCAUGGAACAAUACCCUCCAGUAUUGCAGCUGGCCCGGUGUCACCUGUGGCAAGAAGCACGCAUCUCGCGUCACAGCACUUGACCUUGAAUCGCUAGGCCUGAAUGGCCAGAUACCACCCUGCAUCGGUAAUCUCACUUUCCUCGCAAGAAUCAACCUCUAUGAUAACUUGCUGAAUGGUGUGAUCCCGCCUGAGGUAGGUCAUCUGCGUCACCUUGUGGAGAUUUCCCUUCCAAAUAACAAUCUUAUUGGUGUAAUACCCUACUCUUUAUCUACCUGUUCUAGUCUUCAGAAAAUUGAUCUCGGAAGUAACUCCCUCCAGGGGGACAUUCCAGAUGGGUUCGGCAUGCUUCCUAAGCUUUAUGCUCUGUACGUUCCUGGCAACAAGUUGACGGGCAGUAUUCCUUACUCACUUGGAAGCAGCUCAUCACUCAACUUAUGUCGUCCUGGCAAAAAACAGCCUAACUGGGGGCAUCCCACCUCUCUUAGCAAAUAG
Molecule: ribosomal RNA, 579 nt
Filed under: Triticum aestivum (bread wheat)
Lineage: Eukaryota; Viridiplantae; Streptophyta; Magnoliopsida; Poales; Poaceae
Description: partial small subunit ribosomal RNA
Source: RNAcentral